RNAcentral lists this ribosomal RNA (400 nucleotides) under uncultured bacterium. RNAcentral describes it as "bacterial SSU rRNA". It matches the Rfam family "Bacterial small subunit ribosomal RNA", at positions 8 to 410 of the family's 1533-position model. The record is from RNAcentral.
AGAGUUUGAUCCUGGCUCAGAUUGAACGCUGGCGGCAGGCCUAACACAUGCAAGUCGAGCGGAUGAGUGGAGCUUGCUCCAUGAUUCAGCGGCGGACGGGUGAGUAGUGCCUAGGAAUCUGCCUGGUAGUGGGGGACAACGUUUCGAAAGGAACGCUAAUACCGCAUACGUCCUACGGGAGAAAGUGGGGGAUCUUCGGACCUCACGCUAUCAGAUGAGCCUAGGUCGGAUUAGCUAGUUGGUGAGGUAAAGGCUCACCAAGGCGACGAUCCGUAACUGGUCUGAGAGGAUGAUCAGUCACACUGGAACUGAGACACGGUCCAGACUCCUACGGGAGGCAGCAGUGGGGAAUAUUGGACAAUGGGCGAAAGCCUGAUCCAGCCAUGCCGCGUGUGUGAAG